RNAcentral lists this ribosomal RNA (490 nucleotides) under uncultured bacterium. RNAcentral describes it as "partial 16S ribosomal RNA". It matches the Rfam family "Bacterial small subunit ribosomal RNA", at positions 28 to 507 of the family's 1533-position model. The record is from RNAcentral.
GUUGAACGCUGGCGGCAGGCCUAACACAUGCAAGUCGAACGGUAACAGGAAGAAGCUUGCUUCUUUGCUGACGAGUGGCGGACGGGUGAGUAAUGUCUGGGAAACUGCCUGAUGGAGGGGGAUAACUACUGGAAACGGUAGCUAAUACCGCAUAACGUCGCAAGACCAAAGAGGGGGACCUUCGGGCCUCUUGCCAUCGGAUGUGCCCAGGUGGGAUUAGCUAGUAGGUGGGGUAACGGCUCACCUAGGCGACGAUCCCUAGCUGGUCUGAGAGGAUGACCAGCCACACUGGAACUGAGACACGGUCCAGACUCCUACGGGAGGCAGCAGUGGGGAAUAUUGCACAAUGGGCGAAAGCUUGAUGCAGCCAUGCCGCGUGUAUGAAGAAGGCCUUCGGGUUGUAAAGUACUUUCAGCGGGGAGGAAGGGAGUAAAGUUAAUACCUUGGCUCAUUGACGUUACCCGCAGAAGAAGCACCGGCUAACUCCGUG